This 460-nucleotide ribosomal RNA is filed under the name uncultured bacterium. RNAcentral's name for it is "partial 16S ribosomal RNA". It matches the Rfam family "Bacterial small subunit ribosomal RNA", at positions 338 to 795 of the family's 1533-position model. The record is from RNAcentral.
CCUACGGGUGGCAGCAGUGAGGAAUAUUGGUCAAUGGGCGCGAGCCUGAACCAGCCAAGUAGCGUGAAGGAUGACUGCCCUACGGGUUGUAAACUUCUUUUAUCAAGGAAUAAAGUGAGGCACGUGUGCCUUUUUGUAUGUACCUUAUGAAUAAGGAUCGGCUAACUCCGUGCCCGCAGCCGCGGUAAUACGGAGGAUCCGGGCGUUAUCCGGAUUUAUUGGGUUUAAAGGGGGCGGAGGUGGGUUGGUAAGUCAGUGGUGAAAGUUUGCGGCUCAACCGUAAAAUUGCAAUUGAUACUGGCAGUCUUGAGUACAGGUGAGGUAGGCGGAAUGCGUGGUGUAGCGGUGAAAUGCUUAGAUAUCACGAAGAACUCCGAUUGCGAAGGCAGCUUACUAAACUGCCACUGACAUUGAUGCGCGAAAGUGUGGGUAUCAAACAGGAUUAGAUACCCGAGUAGUC